RNAcentral lists this ribosomal RNA (253 nucleotides) under uncultured bacterium. RNAcentral's name for it is "partial 16S ribosomal RNA". It matches the Rfam family "Bacterial small subunit ribosomal RNA", at positions 524 to 776 of the family's 1533-position model. The record is from RNAcentral.
UACGUAGGGUGCGAGCGUUACUCGGAAUUACUGGGCGUAAAGUGUGCGCAGGCGGCCGCGCAAGUCGAGUGUGAAAGCCCCGAGCUUAACUUGGGAAUUGCGCUCGAAACUACGUGGCUGGAGUGUGGCAGAGGAAGGUGGAAUUCCACGUGUAGCGGUGAAAUGCGUAGAGAUGUGGAGGAACACCAAUGGCGAAGGCAGCCUUCUGGGCCAACACUGACGCUCAUGCACGAAAGCGUGGGGAGCAAACAGG